AUCUUCCGCCCGGCCAUCGGGCCGCGGGCGCUCGGAACCGACCUGGGAGCUGGCGGGACCGUCCUCCCCCGCCACGCCCUCCCAUCGGGCUUUGGGCGCCGGACUCUGGCCACCGCUCGGCACCUGCCUCCGCCUCGCCUUGGGGUAUAGGAGUCCUGUACCGACCCCUGGCUUGCCCAGAGGACAGGUUCUCGCCCGGGCCAGAAGCAAACUGCGGCGAAAUCGAGACAACAGAACUCAGAGUCACUCUGUCACCCAGGCUGGAGUGCAGUGGCACCAUCACAGCUCCCUGCAGCCUUGACUUACAGGGCUCCAGUGAUCCUCCACCCUCAGCCUCCUGAGUAUCUGAGACCACAGGUGCAAGCCACCAUGCCCAGGUCUCUUUCACCCUCUAGCAUACAUCUUACUAAGGCAUCUAAAGUACUUACUACUUCGUACUCAUGGGAUCCAAUGAUGCUCACAUAAUGUCAUCAAUAGAGUGGACCAGUGUGAUGUUUUGUGGAAUGUCAGAACAAUCAAGAUCACUUCAGACUAUUAUGGCAGUGAGCAAGAGAACUAAUGGAGCCCGUGGCAACACUGGGAAGACAUAUUGUUGGCCCUGUUGGGUAACAGCAAAUCACUUCUGAUGGACCUUGCAAAUUGGUAUGGAGGAAAAGGCAUUAGCCAGUUGUAGCAAGGAAACCAAAAGGUAUAAACAUUCACUGAUUGAAAAACAAUGUCAUAAAGUCAUCCCAGUAUCUGUGAGGAGUUGGUUCCAGGACCCCUGAGGACACCAAAAUCCUCAGAUGCUCAAGUCCCUGAUAAAAAAAUAAAAGCAGUGGUGCCCUCGGGUUCAAAAACCUGAACGGUGGUCUUCAGUUGUUCCCCCAAGCUCCUCUAUCAGAGGCCCAGACACUCCAAGAGGCUGGGAAGAG
Molecule: long non-coding RNA, 914 nt
Filed under: Homo sapiens (human)
Lineage: Eukaryota; Metazoa; Chordata; Mammalia; Primates; Hominidae
Description: non-protein coding SGMS1-AS1:19
Source: RNAcentral